RNAcentral lists this long non-coding RNA (280 nucleotides) under Musa acuminata (dwarf banana). Its description in RNAcentral is "long non-coding RNA (MACU_LNC006212)". The record is from RNAcentral. Lineage: Eukaryota; Viridiplantae; Streptophyta; Magnoliopsida; Zingiberales; Musaceae.
CCCGGUUCACCGUCAGCGACGACCCACGCCACAGGCUCCCGACCCCUUCCUGGCGGGCCAUUCGCCCGAUGGCGUCGAGCACGCUCCGGUAGUUCCGGCGCUCAGCGGGGGGAAGCCGCCCGUCGGCUUGCAUCCGGACCAUGGCCACGUCGGCGGGGUUCCCGACCGCCGCCCCGAUCCCACCGGCGAUGAGGCCGGCGGCGAUCUUGCGAUGAAGCGGGAGGGACGCACCGUCGCCGGACGCGGACCAGCGCUUCUUCAGCAUGUCGUAAAGGCCCAU